AGAGUUUGAUCAUGGCUCAGAGCGAACGCUGGCGGCGUGCUUAACACAUGCAAGUCGAACGCGCAGCAUUCUGUAGCAAUACAGGGUGUGGGCGCGUGGCGAACGGGUGCGUAACACGUGGAUAACCUUCCUUCAGGUGGGGAAUAACCCCGCGAAAGCGGGGCUAAUACCGCAUAACAAAACGAUGAGACAUCUUGUUGUUUUCAAAGCCGCAAGGCGCCAGAAGAGGGAUCCGCGGCCGAUUAGCUUGUUGGCGGGGUAACGGCCCACCAAGGCAUUGAUCGGUAGCCGGACUGAGAGGUUGGCCGGCCACACUGGAACUGAGACACGGUCCAGACUCCUACGGGAGGCAGCAGUGGGGAAUCUUGCACAAUGGGCGAAAGCCUGAUGCAGCAACGCCGCGUGGGGGAUGAAGCUUCUCGGAGUGUAAACCCCUUUCGACCCGGAAGAAAGCCCGCAAGGGUUUGACGGUACGGGUAUAAGAAGCCCCGGCUAACUACGUGCCAGCAGCCGCGGUAAAACGUAGGGGGCCAGCGUUGCUCGGAAUUACUGGGCGUAAAGGGUCCGUAGGCGGUGUGGCAAGUCGGUAGUGAAAUCUCUAGGCUUAACCUAGAGGCUGCUGCCGAAACUGCCGUGCUAGAGUGUGAGAGAGGCGAGUGGAAUUACGGGUGUAGCGGUGAAAUGCGUAGAUAUCCGUAGGAACAUCCGAGGCGAAAGCGGCUCGCUGGAUCACAACUGACGCUGAGGGACGAAAGCUAGGGGAGCAAACAGGAUUAGAUACCCUGGUAGUCCUAGCCCUAAACCAUCAGGACUUGGGGUGUGCCCUGUACGGGGCACGUCCCGUAGCUAACGCGUUAAGUCCUGCGCCUGGGGAGUACGGUCGCAAGGCUGAACUCAAAGGAAUUGACGGGGGCCCGCACAAGCGGUGGAACAUGUGGUUCAAUUCGACGCAACGCGAGAACCUUACCUGGCUUGAACCGCACAGGACCAGCUUCAGAAAUGAGCCUU
This 1008-nucleotide ribosomal RNA is filed under the name uncultured bacterium. RNAcentral describes it as "bacterial SSU rRNA". It matches the Rfam family "Bacterial small subunit ribosomal RNA", at positions 8 to 1014 of the family's 1533-position model. The record is from RNAcentral.